GCCGGAUGUGGUGGCGCAUGCCUGUAAUCCCAGUGGCUCAGGAGGGUAAGGCAGGAGAAUCUCAAGUUCAGAGCCAGCCUCAGCAACUUAGUGAGACCCUGCCUCUA
Molecule: small RNA, 107 nt
Filed under: Marmota monax (woodchuck)
Lineage: Eukaryota; Metazoa; Chordata; Mammalia; Rodentia; Sciuridae
Source: RNAcentral